CUUGGUCAUUUAGAGGAAGUAAAAGUCGUAACAAGGUUUCCGUAGGUGAACCUGCGGAAGGAUCAUUAUUGAAAUUAUAGGCGAGGGUUGUAGCUGGCCUCUCGGGGCAUGUGCACACCCGAGCCCUUAAUCCCACACACACCUGUGAACCUAUUGUAAGGGCCCGUAAAAAAGGCCUUUACGUCUUUAUCACCUACCCGAAGUCUCAUAGAAUGUAAACAUAUGUCCUCGCCUUAAAAAAGCGUUGAUAAAAUUUAUACAACUUUCAACAACGGAUCUCUUGGCUCUCGCAUCGAUGAAGAACGCAGCGAAAUGCGAUAAGUAAUGUGAAUUGCAGAUUUUCAGUGAAUCAUCGAAUCUUUGAACGCACCUUGCGCUCCUUGGUAUUCCGAGGAGCAUGCCUGUUUGAGUGUCAUUAAAUUCUCAAACUCUGAUUGAUUCGUUUCAAUCGAGCUUUGGAUUUGGAGCGUGCCGGCGUCGGUCGGCUCCUCUUAAAUGCAUCAGCGGAAUCUAACGUUUCGGAUGUCAGUGUGAUAAUCAUGUUGCGCUGUCUGUCUGAUCCGAAAGCCCGCUCACAAUGGUCUUCGGACAACUUCAUAUCAAAUUUGACCUCAAAUCAGGUAGGACUACCCGCUGAACUUAAGCAUAUCAAUAAGCGGAGGA
Molecule: ribosomal RNA, 663 nt
Filed under: uncultured Piloderma
Lineage: Eukaryota; Fungi; Basidiomycota; Agaricomycetes; Atheliales; Atheliaceae
Description: eukaryotic LSU rRNA
Rfam family: 5.8S ribosomal RNA (bases 261-415)
Source: RNAcentral